RNAcentral lists this transfer RNA (79 nucleotides) under Trichonephila clavipes. RNAcentral describes it as "tRNA-Thr". The stretch from base 4 to 71 matches the Rfam family "tRNA". From Rfam's summary of the family: Transfer RNA (tRNA) molecules are approximately 80 nucleotides in length. Their secondary structure includes four short double-helical elements and three loops (D, anti-codon, and T loops). Further hydrogen bonds mediate the characteristic L-shaped molecular structure. tRNAs have two regions of fundamental functional importance: the anti-codon, which is responsible for specific mRNA codon recognition, and the 3' end, to which the tRNAs corresponding amino acid is attached (by aminoacyl-tRNA synthetases). tRNAs cope with the degeneracy of the genetic code in two manners: having more than one tRNA (with a specific anti-codon) for a particular amino acid; and 'wobble' base-pairing, i.e. permitting non-standard base-pairing at the 3rd anti-codon position. The record is from RNAcentral. Lineage: Eukaryota; Metazoa; Arthropoda; Arachnida; Araneae; Nephilidae.
ACAGCCAGUAUGGUGGCUAUGACCCUCGGCUAGUAACCGAGUGGGUUCGGGUUCGAAUCCCGAUUAAGACAUGGUUGUA